GGACAACAUAACUAAUCAGUGUUCUUUAUAUUGAAUAUCGAAACAGAAAGGAGAAAGAGGAUGUCAGCUUCAAGAACCAUGUUAUACAUUGGUUUGAAGUGUUGGAUGAUCUAUUGGGACCUUACUGGAAAGCUAUUUGAUUGGCUUUUAACUGCACUUUUCUUCUCUUUGGAUCUGUCAUUCAACUUACUGUGCCAGUAAUAUAUAUUACAUAAAUGAUAAGUUAGACAAGAGGACAAGGA
Molecule: long non-coding RNA, 242 nt
Organism: Hibiscus syriacus
Lineage: Eukaryota; Viridiplantae; Streptophyta; Magnoliopsida; Malvales; Malvaceae
Exons: 3
Source: RefSeq, a predicted model, not a curated record